UUUUGUUGUCGUUAUACUGUUGUCUUGUUCAUGUUUUUUGGGUACAUAAUGUAUAUUUCUUCGUUUGUUCUUAUCCGUAUGUACUUCUUAUAGGUGCUUUGACUGAACACAUUUUUAUUGUCCUUCUAGAACCUUUCCAUUGUCCACUGAGAGGGUUUAAAACAUUUUGUUAAGACAUCUGUUUCUUGUUAAAACCAUGUACUUAUUUUUAUAUGUGUCUUCAAGUUGCUGUCAUUGACAUUAAGGGCAAAUAAAAAAUUAUGUGUUUUCUAUUUAGCUACCUAGCCUAUGUUUUAAGCUUAGAAAAUAGCUACCGUUAAUUUUUGGGUCAUUUUUCAAUAAGUACUCUUAAAGAGUCAGAAUUCUCUCCCAUUGACUUAAUGUUAAAAAAAGUUCCCUAACCUAGAUCUAGAUGUGAUAGGAAACACACAUAAUUUUAUUCAGCC
RNAcentral lists this long non-coding RNA (446 nucleotides) under Mytilus galloprovincialis (Mediterranean mussel). Lineage: Eukaryota; Metazoa; Mollusca; Bivalvia; Mytilida; Mytilidae. The record is from RNAcentral.